CUCAUGCGGUCGUUGGAGUGAGAGUUCGCUGCCUACUUUUUGGUAGCUCUUCGCUUCUAAUUGAGAGAAUGACUGACAAACCAUGAGUGACCUGAACACCUUCCUGGUUUGAGAAGAUUAGAAGAAGAAUCUCUAUCAGGACCAGUCUUCAGCCAUAGGGGUUCUGCUUCUCGGCUUCUAUAAACAACCAGACAAAUAGUGACGGCCAAAGAAACUGUAGGGAAUUCAUAGAAUUUGUAAAAACUUGAAAAAUUAAAUCCUACAUUUAGACCCAGAUCUCUUAACAUUAUUUAUGUUAUGAAAUAAUAGUAAUAGUAAAGGAAGAGUACAAGAGCAAAACAACAGAUAUAUCCUACUGAAGUAACUUAUGAUUCACUUUCUACUAAAAGUAUAUAGAAAAAUGUAGUGUUG
Molecule: long non-coding RNA, 411 nt
Filed under: Homo sapiens (human)
Lineage: Eukaryota; Metazoa; Chordata; Mammalia; Primates; Hominidae
Description: HSALNT0206291
Source: RNAcentral